This 292-nucleotide ribosomal RNA is filed under the name uncultured bacterium. Its description in RNAcentral is "partial 16S ribosomal RNA". It matches the Rfam family "Bacterial small subunit ribosomal RNA", at positions 505 to 796 of the family's 1533-position model. The record is from RNAcentral.
GUGCCAGCAGCCGCGGUAAGACGAACCGUGCGAACGUUGUUCGGAUUCACUGGGCUUAAAGGGCGCGUAGGCGGACCAUCAAGUCAGGGGUGAAAGCCCCCGGCCCAACCGGGGAAGUGCCUCUGAUACUGACGGUCUCGAGCGGGAUAGGGGCAGCUGGAACUUCCGGUGGAGCGGUGAAAUGCGUAGAUAUCGGAAGGAACGCCGGUGGCGAAAGCGAGCUGCUGGAUCCCUCCUGACGCUGAGGCGCGAAAGCCAGGGGAGCGAACGGGAUUAGAUACCCCGGUAGUCC